This 253-nucleotide ribosomal RNA is filed under the name uncultured bacterium. Its description in RNAcentral is "partial 16S ribosomal RNA". It matches the Rfam family "Bacterial small subunit ribosomal RNA", at positions 524 to 776 of the family's 1533-position model. The record is from RNAcentral.
UACGGAGGAUGCAAGCGUUAUCCGGAAUGAUUGGGCGUAAAGCGUCCGCAGGUGGCAAUGUAAGUCUGCUGUCAAAGCGUCUGGCUCAACCAGAUAAAGGCAGUGGAAACUACAUAGCUAGAGUAAGGUAGGGGUAGAGGGAAUUCCUGGUGUAGCGGUGAAAUGCGUAGAGAUCAGGAAGAACACCGGUGGCGAAAGCGAUCUGCUGGACCUUAACUGACGCUGAGGGACGAAAGCUAGGGGAGCGAAUAGG